GGAUAAAAGAAGGGUGUAUGUGAUAGGUUGACAACCAACUUAAAGCUAGUCAAUUGAACGAUUUACAGUCUUAUCAUACAACAUACUAGCUGAUUACCUUGCUAAUGAUCAUCAGAGAAAACUUUAUUUUCACAUACCACAACAUAUUUUGGACUGGGAAUGGCGUAAAAGAAGUAUCCUUUCUGAGCUUGGAUGGUGGUCAGCUGAUAUAUUGUGUCUUCAGGAGGUUGACAGAUUCCAGGAGUUGGAGGCAGAGUUGAAGUUGCGUGGAUACAGUGGCAUCUGGAAGAGGCGUACCGGAGAUCCAGCUGAUGGAUGUGCAAUAUUUUGGCAUGCAUCAAGAUUCAAAUUGGUGCAUGAAGAAUUUGUUGAAUUUAAAAAGUUUGGGCUUCGGGAUAAUGUUGCCCAGAUAUGUGUAUUUGAGUCUCUUGGUCAGCAAAAUAAGAGUUCACCAGCUCCCUUAGCAAGCACUGGUCACUCCAGUAAGGUUGUAAUUUGUAAUACUCAUGUGCUUUUCAAUCCUAAAAGGGGAGAUAUUAAGCUCGGACAGGUUAGGGUGCUUCUGGAUAAGGCUGGUGGUGUUUCAAAACUUUGGGACAAUGCUCCUAUUGUAAUUUGUGGAGAUUUUAACAGUACACCAAAGAGUCCAUUAUACAACUAUCUUGCCGAGGAAAGACUAGACUUAUCAGAAGUGCCUCGGGAUAAAGUGUCAGGACAGGAAUCAGCUACAAUUUAUACAGUGAAGCACAGCUUCAAUGCUAGUGCUAGACACCAGGAUGCAGUUAACUCUUCUCAAAGCUCUGAAGUGGCUAGUGAGAGAGAGGUAAAAGACAAUAAGAUGGCAUCAGCUGAACAGAAAUUCGAUACUCGAGAAAAAGAUUCAGGAACUGGAUCUUCUGCAUGUACCUUAUCUCAGCCUCAGAGUUCUGUAGAAUAUGAGCCAGGAAUUUCUUGUAUGGUUAUCUCAUGCUCUGAAAGUACAGCUGAUUUGCCUAGAGUAAUCCAUGUUGAAGGUACAAGUCAUGAAGCCAAUUCAUUAGAAUCUUGUCAAGAAGAUGAAUAUGAUAAGGACUCUGAGAGUGGAUAUAACAAGGCCGACCCUAAUGCCACUUCUACCUCUUCUCACAAAAAUUUUGUAGCAGAAGUGCGUUCAGGAAUUGAUUCAGAGAGAGUUAAGGAUGGGCAGUCCAAUGUAGGUGAUUUUGGUUCUGAAAAUGUUUUGAGCAUUCACAGGCCUAUAAUACCCCAUUGUUCAGAUGUGUCAUCGACGGGGCUAUUUUCUGAUUCUUCAGAUGUACAUGAAGUUUCUCUUCCAGAAAGCUCGGAAAGUGUGUCGUCAAUUGGUAAAGAGAGUUCCCCUAAAAUAUCACGUGAACUUAAAAACUCAUACACAGAGACUUGUUUUGAUGUCUUGUUGGACGAAAAGAUGGCCAACUUGUCACUUAGUGUGGUCUCUGAAGGCACAAAAGAAGAUGAACUUUUGGUUGAAAAUCGUGAAGCAUUUUUGUCUCAGUUACAUGAUGAAGCUGGUUCCUUUCCAUCAGACUCUGACCAACUUCAAACAACUUCUCUUGAGGAAUUGGAUGAGUCAGUAAAGAAGUGUGACGGUUCCUUAGAGUUGCGUUCUUUAAGUGAUGAGAUUGCACAUGAUGCUCCUAAUUUGGAUUCUGAGGUUGUUGACAGAGAGAACUCGAUUUAUGAUCCAUCAGCUUGGACGCCAAUUGAUAUAGAAACCGCUACAGGCAAUGCAGAUUGCAAACUAUUGGAACAUAAUCUGAAGUUGACAAGUGCAUAUAGGGAAGUAGAGUUGCAGGAUUUUUCUGGAACUAGAGAUUCAACAGGAGAACCUGAGGUGACCAGCUAUCACAGGCUUUUCAUGGGUACAGUUGAUUAUAUAUGGCGUUCUGAAGGCCUUCAGACUGCAAGGGUGCUUGCUCCGAUUCCAAAAAAUGCCAUGCAAUUUGUGAGAGGUUUCCCUACUAAGAAAUGGGGAAGUGAUCAUAUUGCUCUGGUUUCGGAAUUUGCUUUUACAAGUGAUAUAUCGGUCCACA
RNAcentral lists this unclassified non-coding RNA (2051 nucleotides) under Hevea brasiliensis (rubber tree). Lineage: Eukaryota; Viridiplantae; Streptophyta; Magnoliopsida; Malpighiales; Euphorbiaceae. The record is from RNAcentral.